Molecule: non-coding RNA, 4482 nt
Organism: Podarcis lilfordi (Lilford's wall lizard)
Lineage: Eukaryota; Metazoa; Chordata; Lepidosauria; Squamata; Lacertidae
Source: the annotation of a GenBank genome assembly
GGACUCGCCAGGAUUUUAAACAGGGUCCAAUCUAAUAAAAUAGUAUGGCUAGACCGAAUGCAUGCUUAACCCCUUUUCUGUCUCUUGCUUUCAUUUGCAGUCCACAAGAGUGAAGCAUCAUUUAAUCAUAAAUGGUUUCAAUAUAGGCCAGUUUUACACCUCUCCAAUUUUUUUAUUACUUUUAUUAGUUCCAGAAGUUGGGAACACUGGGAACUUCUUUUUGACCAUGAUAUAAAAUAAAAAGGAAGUGAUUUCAGUCUUCUUUUCCAACUUGUUUGCAGCCUUAGAGAUUCAACUAAAGCAGUAUUAUGAGGAGUAGAAAGGGAGGAAGUGACUGGCUAUUCCAUAACUGCUCCUGAUAGUUUACAGAAAUAUAAAGCAGUGAGUUACUGCCAUUGUGAAACCCAAAUCAGAUCUUAGAGAGACAUCCUCCUGCCUUGCGUCUGUCACCCCUGGAAACUGAAGCCGAAGCUGAUUUUCCAUCUUAAUCAAUGUUAUCUCUGCUUGAACUUCUAUUGUCAUUCAUCCUUACCCCAAGUAUUUACUCUUCCCUCCAUUUGUUGACUGACCCCACCCUGUGUGUAUCCAAUGGAAAAUCUGAAAGUGGCUCCCACAUGUUUACAAAUGGAUGCAGAAGAAGCUUUUCUAUGGGAUGAUCAAUCAUGUUCUGCUUUAUUCUGUGGAAAGUGAAUCAUAUAUUUUCCAGGACCGACAAAAGUUACAUUAAUAUUAUUCUUCCUGGGAUCCACAAACUGUCUUAAACGUAUUAAAAUACUUCCCUGAAAGGUCGUAUAAAAUGAGUAGUUGAUGGUUUAUAAAUUGCAAAAUUUGCAUCUGUGUGAAAUAAGCAUGCAAAUAAAAGUGAGGGACAUUUACCUCUUUAAAUUUGCAGAGCUUUAUUCACUCAAGAUGUAAUGAGUCCCUCUUACAUUUUGUGUAACCAAUAGGCAGUCAUAUAACCUAUUAUUUUGAAAAAUGUCCAGAUUGUGUGUCGAGGUCCCCAAGACACCCCCUAAAUAAAACACAAUUGACACAUAAUUUUAGUUUAAGGUUUUUGGCAUAAUUUUGGCCACAACUUUAUUAAAAUUACAAGCAAUGUGAGUGGUUGCUUAGGCAUUGGUUGUGACUAUCUGACCCCGCAUGGGGACAGACUGACAUUUCAUAGAAUCAUAGAAUCAUAGAGUUGGAAGAGACCACAAGGGCCAUCGAGUCCAACCCCCUGCCAAGCAGGAAACACCAUCAGAGCACCCCUGACAUAUGGUUGUCAAGCCUCUGCUUAAAGACCUCCAAAGAAGGAGACUCCACCACACUCCUUGGCAGCAAAUAUCACUGUCGAACAGCUCUUACUGUCAGGAAGUUCUUCCUAAUGUUUAGGUGGAAUCUUCUUUCUUGUAGUUUGGAUCCAUUGCUCCGUGUCCGCUUCUCUGGAGCAGCAGCAAACAACCUUUCUCCCUCCUCUAUGUGACAUCCUUUUAUAUAUUUGAACAUGGCUAUCAUAUCACCCCUUAACCUCCUCUUCUCCAGGCUAAACAUGCCCAGCUCCCUUAGCCGUUCCUCAUAAGGCAUUGUUUCCAGGCCUUUGACCAUUUUGGUUGCCCUCCUCUGGACACGUUCCAGUUUGUCAGUGUCCUUCUUGAACUGUGGUGCCCAGAACUGGACACAGUUCCAGGUGAGGUCUGACCAGAGCAGAAUACAGUGGCAGUAUUACUUCCCUUGAUCUAGAUGCUAUACUCCUAUUGAUGCAGCCCAGAAUUGCAUUGGCUUUUUUAGCUGCCCGCCAGCGAAGUCAGAAAGGGAAAACAUUUUGGGGAGAGAGAUGGAGCUGGGUACCAUACCUCACCUCUCCCCAAAUUUUCCCAGGGGCUCUUGAGUGGUCCUAGUCCCUUGACAGGCGUUUGGACAAAAGCAUGGCGAGCCCCUGGAUUCCUUUAACGGAAUACCCUUGCAGCAGCAGCAUUUGGAGGGGCAGGCACAGCCAAUCUAUUCCCCUCCACCAACCAAUUAAAACCAAUGCCUAACCACAACCUUACAAGUUGUGAUGAUUUGCUACACAGUAGGCAAAAACCAAAUGGCACCAGCCAAUCAGCCAAAUGGACAAAAUUCCUACCGGGCCCCUGCCCCAAAGCAGGCGACCCCAUGACAGGCAUAGCAGGGUCAAGCGAACAACCCUGAAAAUAGGGAGGGUGAUCCGAUGCGUGCAGCGAAAAGAGGAAGCUCAAUGCUGCGCGUAGGGUAUUUAAAGGCUAUGGCUGUCAAUCACAAAAUGGCAACAUAAAAUUCUCCUCAGCAACAAGAAAAGCUCAGUGAUAAUGGUGGCAAAUCUCUUUCCUGCCCAGCAACAGUGUGUGUCUUGAUAGCCCCCACCGCAACACAUGCUGUUCAUGAAGGAGAACACGCUUUAUGAAAUAACGGACUGUCUGGAAUUAGUAGUCCACAAUGGCUAGCUGUUAACAGAGGGUGACUCUUUCCUACCUUCACACUAUGACCCCUUUAUUUUUUUGAUAGGCACAAGGAAUAAAGAAAUGAAUGCAGCAAAUAACAUGGAAGGUAGCAGGGAAUAUUUUUUUUAAUAGUGGGAAAUAAACAAUGCAAAACAAUGGAACAAUAUAAACACCUAAGGCCUUGAAGAAUACUUAACCCUCUGAGGAAACUGCAUUCACUUGAGAAUUUUCUGGUUCUACGUGUAACCUGUGAUCAGAUGAAGAGUGAGAGCAAAUGAAGUCAAGGAGAGUGAGACAAAAGCCUGGCUGCCAUUAGCCCAUGAAAUUCUUGGCAAGUGACCCUAGGCCACUUAAAAGAAGGGAAAUGAGAAGCAGCUGGGACUAUGAAAAUAAAAAAGGCAUUGAUCAGUUUGGAAACAAUGUGAACAAAUAUGCAGUGAGCAUCAAAAUGAGAUUUUCAAAAGCACUUGUGAAACUAGGGCAAGAAGCCACAGAAAUUGUCCCACUAGCCCCCAUAUCUUUAUUUCCCUGCCUGACUGGGAGAUCAGGCAGACUGCUUUCUUUCCCAAUUUCAGGAGAUCAAAACUUUCAUCCUGCUCUUUAGAGAUCCUCUCUACAGGUGGAGGGAUAUUUUAACAUUAAUCUUAGUGCUAAGUACCACAGUGGUGAGAUCAGAAAUAAUCCCUCUGCAUGCUUUUCAGCAGUAAAAUACAGCAUUUUCCUCUGACUCAAGUGCAGGUGGGUGUGGGUGAGAGGUCCUUGCUCUUGAAGAGCAAGCAGAGGGUUUAUCUCUCAGAGCAUUGGUGGUUAGCACCAAGAUCAGAGAGACAAUAUCCCUUUUGUACCUCUCAAGUGCUUCCCUGAAACACAAAACUGUUUCUCUGCAAUUUGGCAGGCUGUAUCUGCUCUGGAGACUUUCCUGUACCUGUAAAUUUUGUAAGCUGCUUUGAGGUUUGAUUACAAUCAAGCAAAAUGUAAGUCUUGAGAAAUAAAUUGCAAAAUAAUUUUUAUCCACUUUAGCCAAAAGGGGGGAAAGAUAUAGCCAUGUUUAGAUGACCACAGAGGUUUGCCUUAUAUAGAGCAACGUCAAACCUAAAUUACAGAAGUGAAGAAAACACAGAGAGAUGCAGAGAGAUACAGAAACAGGUCUUUUCUGCACAGAUGCAAUGUGAACCUUGGGGGCCAUGCACACCCCUAGUAUUUACGAGCAGACAACACUGUGCACAUCAUUUGUUAAUUCAUCAUAAUUAUCUGCUCCAAGAUUUUAUCAAGCAAAGCAGCACCUAAUUGAAACCUAUUUUUAUGGGUGGCUACUCUCAAGUGACUUAUUUUUUUGGGGGGAGGGGAGUAUGUUGGGCAUUUCCACAUUUCAGCAAUGACAUUUCACAUUAUGGUGUGUCCCAUCAGACUGUACACAUCAGUUAUGAUGCAUUUAACUCAUGUUCUUAUUAUCUCGGAUGCAGUCAAAUAUGACACAUCAAAACAUACAACAUUCAGGAUGAUAAAGAGAUACUUCCGGUAUUUUCUGUGUGCGCGCACACACACACACACACACACGUAAAACAGAACGGUAAUUUGCCAGUUCCACAAGAAAUGCGUGCAUAUCUUUCCUCCCUAAGAAAUUUUUCUUGCAUUUUGAAUAGAAGCGCAGAUCAGAGCUUUUUAAUGCAGUCUUUGGAGAAAAUUCUGUGCUUUGAACUCUGAUUUGCACUUUCAGGGAAAUGCCUCUGGCCAUUGAUGCUGAAGUCAUGUUCCGAAUACUGUGUGAAAUAGAUGUUGCCACAUCACCUCCCCUCCCCCCCCAUUCAAGUUCUGAGCUUUAUUACAAAACUUUGCAUCUCCCCUUUCCCCCUAUAAUCAACCCUGUUUUUUCCAGCAGUAUCACCACUAUUUUUUGCCAGAGUGGCCACCCUUUCAAGAAAUAGCAACAGUGAAUCUGCAUGUCAGCUGAACCUUACCUUAGUAAUAGCACAAAAAGUUAAUGCAUGGGUAAGAGUCUGUAAGGGAACCUUAUUGUUGCUGGGAGUUUGCAUCUUUUCAC